UUACAGCAGGUUACUAACGCUUACAGUAUGUUACUAACGCUUACAGUAUGUUACUAACGCUUACAGUAUGUUACUAACGCUUACAGUAUGUUACUAACGCUUACAGUAUGUUACUAACGCUUACAGUAUGUUACUAACGCUUACCGUAUGUUACUAACGCUUACAGUAUGUUACUAACGCUUACAGUAUGUUACUAACGCUUACAGCAUGUUACUAACGCUUACAGUAUGUUACUAACGCUUACCGUAUGUUACUAACGCUUACAGCAUGUUACUAACGCUUACAGUAGGUUACUAACGCUUACAGUAUGUUACUAACGCUUACAGUAUGUUACUAACGCUUACAGUAUGUUACUAACGCUUACAGUAUGUUACUAACGCUUACAGCAUGUUACUAACGCUUACAGUAUGUUACUAACGCUUACAGUAUGUUACUAACGCUUACAGCAUGUUACUAACGCUUACAGCAGGUUACUAACGCUUACAGUAUGUUACUAACGCUUACAGUAUGUUACUAACGCUUACCGUAUGUUACUAACGCUUACAGUAUGUUACUAACGCUUACAGUAUGUUACUAACGCUUACAGUAUGUUACUAACGCUUACAGCAUGUUACUAACGCUUACAGCAUGUUACUAACGCUUACAGCAUGUUACUAACGCUUACAGUAUGUUACUAACGCUUACAGUAUGUUACUAACGCUUACAGUAUGUUACUAACGCUUACCGUAUGUUACUAACGCUUACAGCAUGUUACUAACGCUUACAGUAUGUUACUAACGCUUACAGUAUGUUACUAACACUUACAGUAGGUUACUAAUGCUUACAGUAGGUUACUAACGCUUACAGUAUGUUACUAAUGCUUACAGUAGGUUACUAACGCUUACAGCAUGUUUACUAACGCUUACAGUAGGUUACUAACGCUUACAGUAUGUUACUAACGCUUACAGUAUGUUACUAACGCUUACCGUGUGUUACUAACGCUUACAGUAUGUUACUAACGCUUACAGCAUGUUACUAACGCUUACAGUAGGUUACUAACGCUUACCGUGUGUUACUAACGCUUACAGUAUGUUACUAACGCUUACAGUAUGUUACUAACGCUUACCGUGUGUUACUAACGCUUACAGUAUGUUACUAACGCUUACAGCAUGUUACUAACGCUUACAGUAGGUUACUAACGCUUACCGUGUGUUACUAACGCUUACAGUAUGUUACUAACGCUUACAGUAUGUUACUAACGCUUACAGCAUGUUACUAACGCUUACAGCAUGUUACUAACGCUUACAGUAUGUUACUAACGCUUACAGUAGGUUACUAGCUCCUAACAAUGUACACAAACAGGUACACAAAUAAUCAAUACAAAUAAAAAAGCAGAAAGAACAACAGGAAAUUAAGAAAUGUCUCCAGGAAUCCAAUUUUAACAACCCAAAUAGCACCGCGACGAGUGAUCCAAAUGCAGUCUAUAUGUAUCUACACCGGAUGAAUUUGCACUAGACAUACUAGGAAUGAUAAGUACAGCCGUAGAUAUAUUAGCAUGAGCUUUGUCGAGAAUCCAGUAUAUGAAUACAUAUGUGGUGGAGUGUAUAAACAGUGUAACUAAAGUUCAAUGUACAGUAGUAGAUAUAUUAGCAUGAGCUUUGUCGAGAAUCCAGUAUAUGAAUACACUGUACAAAACCCCAUAGCAAAAUGGAUAUAAUCAUAUACAGUAUAUGCAUGUAAAUAGAAAGGGUGUGUACAGCAGUAGACAUAUAGGAUGAGCCAUGACUAGAAUACAGUAUAUUCAUAGGAAGUGGGUAAAACAGUGUGUAAACAUUAUUAAAGUGACCAGUGUUCCAUGACUAUGUACAUAAGGCAGCAGCCUCUAAGGUGAGGGGUUGAGUAUCGUGUGGUAGCUGGCUAAUGACAGUGUCUGAGGUUUAGGGCAGGGUACCGGGUGGAGGCCGGCUGGUGGUGCCUCUUCAUCAGUCAGAUGGCUGGGAGAUAGAAGCCGUUUAUCAGUC
Long non-coding RNA from Oncorhynchus keta (chum salmon), 2000 nucleotides. RefSeq lists it as uncharacterized. The record is from RefSeq and is a predicted model, not a curated record. Lineage: Eukaryota; Metazoa; Chordata; Actinopteri; Salmoniformes; Salmonidae. The transcript is spliced from 3 exons.